Molecule: ribosomal RNA, 253 nt
Filed under: uncultured bacterium
Lineage: Bacteria
Description: partial 16S ribosomal RNA
Rfam family: Bacterial small subunit ribosomal RNA
Source: RNAcentral
GACGUAGGGCGCGAGCGUUGUCCGGAUUUAUUGGGCGUAAAGAGCUCGUAGGCGGUUUGUUGCGUCGGCUGUGAAAACCUGAGGCUCAACCUCAGGCCUGCAGUCGAUACGAGCAGACUAGAGUGUUGCAGGGGAGACUGGAAUUCCUGGUGUAGCGGUGGAAUGCGCAGAUAUCAGGAGGAACACCGAUGGCGAAGGCAGCUCGCUGGGACGGUACUGACGCUGAGGCGCGAAAGCGUGGGGAGCGAACAGG